GCCAGUGUGGUGUAGUGGUCUGAGUGCUGGACAAAGGAUCCAAGGGACCAGAGUUCAAAUCCCUGCUCAGGCA
Non-coding RNA from Phrynosoma platyrhinos (Desert horned lizard), 73 nucleotides. The record is from the annotation of a GenBank genome assembly. NCBI's taxonomy places the organism in Eukaryota, Metazoa, Chordata, Lepidosauria, Squamata, Phrynosomatidae.